UGAGUACGAGAUGCUACGGCAUCGAAGCAGUCUAUGUCAUACUUCCAAGAAAAGCUUGCAAUGUCAUAAACAAAUAAUGCCUGUACCAUAACCGACACAGGUGGGUAGGUAGAGUAUACUAAGGGGCGCGAGAUAACUCUCUCUAAGGAACUCGGCAAAAUGACUCCGUAACUUCGGGAGAAGGAGUGCCUUAUUUUUAUAAGGUUGCAAUAACAAGAUCCAAGCAACUGUUUACCAAAAACACAGGUCUCCGCUAAGUCGUAAGACGAUGUAUGGGGGCUGACGCCUGCCCAGUGCCAGAAGGUUAAAGAAGUUGGUUAGCAUUAGCGAAGCUGAUAUCUGAAGCCCUGGUGAACGGCGGCCGUAACUAUAACGGUCCUAAGGUAGCGAAAUUCCUUGUCGGGUAAGUUCCGACCCCACGAAAGGCGUAAUGAUUUGGAUACUGUCUCGGAGAGGGGCUCGGUGAAAUAGACUUGUCUGUGAAGAUGCGGACUACCUGCACCAGGACAGAAAGACCCUAUGAAGCUUUACUGUAACUUGAGAUUGAAAUUGGACUUUAUCUGCGCAGUAUAGGUGGGAGACGUUGAGAAUAUUCUUGCGGGAAUAUUGGAGUCAUCAGUGAGAUACCACUCUUAUAAUGUUAGAUUUCUAACUUUGUAUCAUUAUCUGGUCAAAGAACAGUUUCAGGCGGCAGUUUGACUGGGGCGGUCGCCUCCCAAACGGUAACGGAGGCGCACAAAGGUUUCCUCUGAACGUGUAGAAAUCGUAUCUAGAGUGUAAAGGCAUAAGGAAGCUUGACUGUGAGACCUACAAGUCGAGCAGGGACGAAAGUCGGUCUUAGUGAUCUGACGGUGCUGAGUGGAAAGGCCGUCACUCAACGGAUAAAAGUUACUCUAGGAUAACAGGCUGAUCUCCCCCAAGAGUUCACAUCGACGGGGAGGUUUGGCACCUCGAUGUCGGCUCAUCGCAUCCUGGGGCGGUAGUACGUCCCAAGGGUUGGGCUGUUCGCCCAUGAAAGCGGUACGCGAGCUGGGUUCAGAACGUCGUGAGACAGUUCGGUCCAUAUCCGGUGUAGGCGUUAGAAUAUUGAGAGGAGCCUUCUUUAGUACGAGAGGACCGAGAAGGACAUACCUCUGGUGUACCAGUUAUCGUGCCAACGGUAACGCUGGGUAGCCAUGUAUGGAGAGGAUAACCGCUGAAGGCAUCUAAGUGGGAAGCCCACCUCAAGAUAAGUAUUCUCAUCACGUAAGUGAGUAAGGUCACGGUAAGACUAACCGUUUGAUAGGCAUUAAGUGUAAAUGUAGUAAUAUAUGAGCUGAGAUGUCCUAACAGACCGAGGACUUGA
This 1345-nucleotide ribosomal RNA is filed under the name metagenome. RNAcentral's name for it is "bacterial LSU rRNA". It matches the Rfam family "Bacterial large subunit ribosomal RNA", at positions 1564 to 2925 of the family's 2925-position model. The record is from RNAcentral.